UCCGUCGACUUUAGAAAUCAUGAGGGUUCAAGUCCCUCUAUCCCCA
Molecule: transfer RNA, 46 nt
Filed under: Sedum mucizonia
Lineage: Eukaryota; Viridiplantae; Streptophyta; Magnoliopsida; Saxifragales; Crassulaceae
Description: partial tRNA-Leu
Source: RNAcentral